AUGGAGCUUGCACGGGCAAACACUGAACAACGCAAUUCCAACUAUAUAUUACUCUUGCAUUACAUUGAGCACCUUCUACAGUCUACAAGGGCGGUGAGGUGCACAGAGAAAUGGCUUACCCCAGACGAGGAGGUGAGGAAGAACAUAUGGCCGUUGCUGCAUGUCAAUCAUGUCUUCAAUGUUUGGUGCACGCUCUUCUUGCCUUCAUUGUUGCAGACCUGCAGCACAACCUCCAUGGCGGGCAUGUCCUGUGACCAGCUAGAAAUGUAUUCAAACACAAUAAAUAUGUACGAGAAACCUUAA
RNAcentral lists this ribosomal RNA (303 nucleotides) under Triticum aestivum (bread wheat). RNAcentral's name for it is "partial small subunit ribosomal RNA". The record is from RNAcentral. Lineage: Eukaryota; Viridiplantae; Streptophyta; Magnoliopsida; Poales; Poaceae.